UCUUUUUCCCUUUUUAAAGAAAGAGUCUGAUUUCCCAGCCUUGGCAACAUAGCAAGACCUCAUUGCUACAAAAAAAAAAAAAAAAAAAGCCAGGUGUGGUGGCACACACAUUUAGCCCAGCUACUUGGAAGGCUGAGGUGGGAGGAUGGCCUGAGUCCAGGAAGGGGAGGACGCAGAGAGCUGUGAUUGAGCCACUGUAUUCCAGCCUGAGUGAUAGAGUGAAACCCUGUCUCAAAAAACAAGGUUUAUUCCUUUUCACCCCAAACUUGUCCCUGUCCCUCCCUCAUGACCUUCC
RNAcentral lists this long non-coding RNA (295 nucleotides) under Homo sapiens (human). RNAcentral's name for it is "non-protein coding lnc-NTN1-5:1". Lineage: Eukaryota; Metazoa; Chordata; Mammalia; Primates; Hominidae. The record is from RNAcentral.